GAUGAAGAACGCAGCAAAAUGCGAUAAGUAAUGUGAAUUGCAGAAUUCAGUGAAUCAUCGAAUCUUUGAACGCACAUUGCGCCCGCUGGUAUUCCGGCGGGCAUGCCUGUUCGAGCGUCAUUUCAACCCUCAAACCCCCGGGUUUGGUGUUGGGGAUCGGCUCUGCCUCACGGCGGUGCCGCCCCCGAAAUACAUUGGCGGUCUCGCUGCAGCCUCCAUUGCGUAGUAGCUAACACCUCGCAACUGGAACGCGGCGCGGCCAUGCCGUAAAACCCCAACUUCUGAAUGUUGACCUCGGAUCAGGUAGGAAUACCCGCUGAACUUAAGCAUAUCAUAACGGAGG
This 343-nucleotide unclassified non-coding RNA is filed under the name soil metagenome. Its description in RNAcentral is "partial contains 5.8S ribosomal RNA, internal transcribed spacer 2, and large subunit ribosomal RNA". The stretch from base 1 to 120 matches the Rfam family "5.8S ribosomal RNA", at positions 35 to 154 of the family's 154-position model. The record is from RNAcentral.